This 69-nucleotide transfer RNA is filed under the name Monopenchelys acuta (redface moray). Its description in RNAcentral is "tRNA-Ser". The record is from RNAcentral. Lineage: Eukaryota; Metazoa; Chordata; Actinopteri; Anguilliformes; Muraenidae.
AAGGGAGGAAGAUAUCCUCGGAAGAGUGCUAAUUUUUCUGAGCUGCGGUUAAACUCCGCAGAUCCCUUG